This 617-nucleotide ribosomal RNA is filed under the name Celebia sp. 3 MVD-2017. RNAcentral describes it as "SSU rRNA". It matches the Rfam family "Eukaryotic small subunit ribosomal RNA", at positions 14 to 610 of the family's 1831-position model. RNAcentral also lists the same sequence under 5 other names. Lineage: Eukaryota; Metazoa; Arthropoda; Insecta; Coleoptera; Curculionidae. The record is from RNAcentral.
CUGCCAGUAGUCAUAUGCUUGUCUCAAAGAUUAAGCCAUGCAUGUCUCAGUACAAGCCAAAUUAAGGUGAAACCGCGAAAGGCUCAUUAAAUCAGUUAUGGUUCCUUAGAUCGUACCCACAAUUACUUGGAUAACUGUGGUAAUUCUAGAGCUAAUACAUGCAAACAGAGCUCCGACCGGAGACGGAAGGAGUGCUUUUAUUAGAUCAAAACCAAUCGGUGGCGGGUUCGCUCGUCAUCGUACAACUUGGUGACUCUGAAUAACUUUACGCUGAUCGCACGGUCUCGCACCGGCGACGCAUCUUUCAAAUGUCUGCCUUAUCAACUGUCGAUGGUAGGUUCUGCGCCUACCAUGGUUGUAACGGGUAACGGGGAAUCAGGGUUCGAUUCCGGAGAGGGAGCCUGAGAAACGGCUACCACAUCCAAGGAAGGCAGCAGGCGCGCAAAUUACCCACUCCCGGCACGGGGAGGUAGUGACGAAAAAUAACGAUACGGGACUCAUCCGAGGCCCCGUAAUCGGAAUGAGUACACUCUAAACCCUUUAACGAGGAUCAAUUGGAGGGCAAGUCUGGUGCCAGCAGCCGCGGUAAUUCCAGCUCCAAUAGCGUAUAUUAAAGU